CCGUAAACGAUGAGUGCUAAGUGUUAGGGGGUUUCCGCCCCUUAGUGCUGCAGCUAACGCAUUAAGCACUCCGCCUGGGGAGUACGGUUGCAAGACUGAAACUCAAAGGAAUUGACGGGGGCCCGCACAAGCGGUGGAGCAUGUGGUUUAAUUUGAAGCAACGCGAAGAACCUUACCAGGUCUUGACAUCCUUUGACAAUCCUAGAGAUAGGACGUCCCCUUCGGGGGCAGAGUGACAGGUGGUGCAUGGUUGUCGUCAGCUCGUGUCGUGAGAUGUUGGGUUAAGUCCCGCAACGAGCGCAACCCUUGAUUUUAGUUGCCAGCAUUCAGUUGGGCACUUUAAGGUGACUGCCGGUGACAAACCGGAGGAAGGUGGGGAUGACGUCAAAUCAUCAUGCCCCUUAUGACCUGGGCUACACACGUGGUACAAUGGGCAGAACAAAGGGCAGCGAAACCGCGAGGUUAAGCCAAUCCCACAAAUCUGUUUUCAGUUCGGAUCGCAGU
RNAcentral lists this ribosomal RNA (504 nucleotides) under Bacillus subtilis. Its description in RNAcentral is "bacterial SSU rRNA". It matches the Rfam family "Bacterial small subunit ribosomal RNA", at positions 800 to 1304 of the family's 1533-position model. The record is from RNAcentral. Lineage: Bacteria; Bacillati; Bacillota; Bacilli; Caryophanales; Bacillaceae.